ACGUACACUCCUGCGGGAGGCAGCAGUGGGGAAUAUUGGACAAUGGGCGCAAGCCUGAUCCAGCCAUGCCGCGUGAGUGAUGAAGGCCCUAGGGUUGUAAAGCUCUUUCACCGGAGAAGAUAAUGACGGUAUCCGGAGAAGAAGCCCCGGCUAACUUCGUGCCAGCAGCCGCGGUAAUACGAAGGGGGCUAGCGUUGUUCGGAAUUACUGGGCGUAAAGCGCACGUAGGCGGAUCGAUCAGUCAGGGGUGAAAUCCCAGGGCUCAACCCUGGAACUGCCUUUGAUACUGUCGAUCUGGAGUAUGGAAGAGGUGAGUGGAAUUCCGAGUGUAGAGGUGAAAUUCGUAGAUAUUCGGAGGAACACCAGUGGCGAAGGCGGCUCACUGGUCCAUUACUGACGCUGAGGUGCGAAAGCGUGGGGAGCAAACAGGAUUAGAAACCCGUGUAGUCCCAUGA
Molecule: ribosomal RNA, 455 nt
Filed under: uncultured organism
Description: partial 16S ribosomal RNA
Rfam family: Bacterial small subunit ribosomal RNA
Source: RNAcentral